RNAcentral lists this long non-coding RNA (448 nucleotides) under Elaeis guineensis (African oil palm). Its description in RNAcentral is "long non-coding RNA (EGUI_LNC022678)". Lineage: Eukaryota; Viridiplantae; Streptophyta; Magnoliopsida; Arecales; Arecaceae. The record is from RNAcentral.
UUCCUCCUUAAAAGUAAGUAGGCUCUUUCAAACAACUAGGACCUCUCCUCUAUCCCCAAAUAACAAGGAAUCAUCCUCCUCCUUACCUCCUUUAUCAUAAGUAAGCUCUUGAUCCUCGUCAGAUGGCUCUUCUUCUUCAGUGAGCAACUACUUCAUGGGCUAUCCAGCAUGCUUUGUACCUUCGCUUCGUAUGUGUCCGAUCUCACCAUAGUUAUAGCACUGCAACAUAGAAAAUCCCACUAGGAUCAGCUUUAAGGACCUUAUAUCAACAGCACCACGAACAGAAGGGGUAGAAGCUGGAUUGUGUCACACGUCCCUCUGAUUAUCUAAUGUUUGAUUGUUCCGUAGGAAAGGAUUAGGUCUAGGCACAGGCCUUCGUUGCAACUGCUCCUCAGCAAUCAAGGCUCAAUGGUAAGCUUCAUUGAUCGUCCAUAAGGAAUGCAACCUC